GUUUUUUGAGCAAAGUAAAGUCAUAAGGUGGUGUGCAGAAGACCAGCAAGUCAAUGAUCCUUCCCCUGUUGUUUAAACAAAGUAAAGUAAUGAGGUGGUUUGAAGAAGAGCCCAAGCCAGUGAUCCUUCGUCUGUUGUUUUAGCAAAGUAAACUAAUGAGGUGGUUUGCAGAAGAAUGUCAAGCCAGUGAGAUCCUUCGUUUGUAGGUGUUUGGGGAAAGUGAUAAGGUGGUGUGCAGAAGACCGUCGAGCCAGUGAGAUCCUUCCUCUGUUGUUUUAGCAAAGUGAUAAGGUGGUUUGCAGAAGACUGUCAAGCCAGUGAGAUCCUUCGUCUGUUGUUUGGGCAAAGUGAUAAGGUGGUGUGCAGAAGACCGUUAAGCCAGUGAGAUCCUUCCUCUGUUGUUUAGGCAAAGUAAAGUAGUGAGGUGGUUUGCAGAAGAGCGGCAAUCCAGUGAUCCUUCAUCUGAUUUUUGAGCAGACUAAAGUAAUAUGGUGUUGUGCAGAAGACUGGCAAGCCAGUGAUCCUUCCUCUAUUGUUUAAGAAAGGUAGAGUAAUAAGGUUGUGUGCAGAAGACCGGAAAGCCAGUGAUCCUUCCUCUGUUGUUUAAGCAAAGUAAUAAGGUGGUUUGCUGAAAGCUGGCAAGCCAGUGAUCCUUCGUCUGUUGUUUGAGCAAAGUGAUAAGGUGACUUGCAGAAGACUGUCAAGCCAGUGAGAUCCUUCCUCUGUAAGUAGCUGUCUUUAUUGCUGUGUGUUCUGUGCUGUGUUCAUCCUUGAGAUAGUGAAGUGCAAGCAAUUGAAGUCUUGCUUUCGGUGUUACUCCAUUGUACAGGUUGUUUGAGCAAAGUGAUAUGGUUCUGUGUAGAAGACUGGAAAGCCAGAGAUCCUUCCUCUGAAACGUAGUUGUCUUUAUUGCUGGGUAUUGUUUGUGCUGUGUUCAUCUUUGAGAUAGUGAAGUGCAAGCAAUUAAAGUCUUGCUUUCGGUGUCUGUCCUUUGUUCCAGUUGUCUGAGCAAUGUGAGUAGGUGGUAUGCAGAAGACCGGCAAGCCAGUGAGAUCCUUCCCCUGUAUGUAGCUGUCUUUAUUGCUGGGUGUAGUGCAGUCUGUGCUGUGUUCAUCCAUGAGAUAGUGAAGUGCAAGCAAUUAAAGCCUUUCUUUCUGUAUCUCUCUUUUGUGCAGGUUAUUAAGCAAAGUGAAGUAAUAAGGUGGUUUGCAGAAGACCGGCAAGCCAGUGAUCCUUCCUCUUUAAGUAGCUGUCUUUAUUGCUAGGUGUGGUAUGGUCAGUGCUGUGUUCAUCCUUGAGAUAGCAAUUAAAGUCUGGCUUUUGGUUUCUCUCCUUUUUGCAGAUUGUUUGAACAAGGUAGCGUAACAAGGUUGUGUGCACAAGACUGGCAAGCCAGUGAUCCUUCCUCUGUUUUUUAAGCAAACUAAAGCAAUAAGGUGGUCUGCAGAAGACCGUCAAGCCAGUGUGGUCCUUCGCCGUUUGUUUGAGCAAAGUAAAGUAAUAAGGUGUUGUGCAGAAGAUGGGCAAGACAGUGAUCCUUCAACUGUUGUUUGAGCAAAGUGAAGGUUCUGUACAAAAGACUGGAAAGCCAGUGAUCCUUCCACUGAUGUUUGAGUAAAGUAAUGAGGUGGUGUGCAGAAGACUGGCAAGCCAGUGAUCCUUCCCCUGUAAGAGACGAGGUGGCACAGUGGUUUGGGUGCAGUACUGCAGGCUACUUCAGCUGACUGUGAUCUGCAGUUCAGCGGU
Long non-coding RNA from Thamnophis elegans (Western terrestrial garter snake), 1746 nucleotides. RefSeq lists it as uncharacterized. The record is from RefSeq and is a predicted model, not a curated record. Lineage: Eukaryota; Metazoa; Chordata; Lepidosauria; Squamata; Natricidae. The transcript has 16 exons.